This 786-nucleotide long non-coding RNA is filed under the name Anas platyrhynchos (mallard). RNAcentral describes it as "lncRNA (ENSAPLG00020002406.1)". The record is from RNAcentral. Lineage: Eukaryota; Metazoa; Chordata; Aves; Anseriformes; Anatidae.
GUAAAUUUCCAAAUGGUUAAAGAUGAGACUUCACCUUUCUUUUCUCACAUACUGUCUCGGUAUAAGAUCUUUUCAAAGAACAGUCUUGAAAUGAAAGCCUUCUGAUAAGAAAUCUGCAUUGAUAAGAGUUAUUGAAGCAUAACAAUUAUUAUUUAAACUGAAUUCAAAAAUGUUUAGAAUCCCUGAAAACAAAUGUACAGGCAGAUACAAAGGACAAUAUUUUCAAUUUGAAUAGUGUCUCUUCCUGCUGUGCUUGAUUUUUUACUGGAGGGCUGAACUGCCAUUCCUUCAAUUAUCAGCCUCAUAAAUUACCGCACAGGAAAAUGAGAGAUCUAUUGUUUUCUUCCUCUAGGUGCAAGAAUGGAUAUAAGGAGCUGAUAAGCAGGUACAAUUUUAGCUCCCCCCACUCCCACUGUGUCAGCCAGUGGAGCUAACUAAGGAGAAAACAGAUUUCUGCCUCUGAGGAGUCACAUCCCAGUUGUAUCACUGGUGUUCAUUGCUGUAUACCAAGAGCUGGGGCAUUUGAGCCGAGAGCAUCUGUUAUUCAGAAGAAACAGCUCCCUCUGAAUGGUAUGCUAUUGUUUUCACUGGCAAUGCAUGGGACACAGAAAUGCUUGGGUGAAUCUAUGAAACUGGUGACCUCAAGGCUGACUAGGGAAUGUAAAUGUCCACCGUAUGACUGCUGAAGGACAGGAAGUGUAACUCGAGGAUUGAGAAAUAAUGGAAACAUAAAUAUAAUUCAUGUUCAUUUAAAAAUAGUUACUUCCUCACCUGAGAAGAGCUGAC